This 314-nucleotide signal recognition particle RNA is filed under the name Nitrososphaerota archaeon. RNAcentral's name for it is "Thaumarchaeota archaeon signal recognition particle sRNA". It matches the Rfam family "Archaeal signal recognition particle RNA". The record is from RNAcentral. Lineage: Archaea; Thermoproteati; Nitrososphaerota.
UGGCGGGUAGGGCUGGGAGGUUAGCCGUCUCCCGAUAGGCUGAAACCGGCUAUACGCAGUGGCCAGCAACCGUCGGGUCAAGCCAUCUCUGCUUCUACCUACGCACGUGGGUGGGUUGAUCUCACGCCGGAGCGGGCAGUCAUGAGGAGCGGGCCCCUCGAAGGAGGGGUUCUGACUCUUAAUCGCCGAACAGGGCGAGGUCCGGGAGGGAGCAACCCUAAGGUGACGCGGCUACGCUGCUUCGUCUACGUGGAGGACUGCCCUACGUGUGGGAUUGGGGAAGCCUGAGGUGACGAACUCCGGCGGGACUGCCA